RNAcentral lists this microRNA precursor (60 nucleotides) under Ptychodera flava. RNAcentral describes it as "Pfl-Mir-92-o41_pre stem-loop". Lineage: Eukaryota; Metazoa; Hemichordata; Enteropneusta; Ptychoderidae. The record is from RNAcentral.
CGGCUCGGAUGAGGACAAUGUUGUGACGUCACUACCAAUAUUGCACUCGUCCCGGCCUUA